GGAGAGAUGGCAGAGUGGUCGAUUGUACCUGACUCGAAAUCAGGCGUACGGUUUCCCCGUACCGAGGGUUCGAAUCCCUCUCUCUCCGCCA
This 91-nucleotide transfer RNA is filed under the name Limnohabitans sp. Its description in RNAcentral is "tRNA-Ser". It matches the Rfam family "tRNA". From Rfam's summary of the family: Transfer RNA (tRNA) molecules are approximately 80 nucleotides in length. Their secondary structure includes four short double-helical elements and three loops (D, anti-codon, and T loops). Lineage: Bacteria; Pseudomonadati; Pseudomonadota; Betaproteobacteria; Burkholderiales; Comamonadaceae. The record is from RNAcentral.